UAGGGAAUCUUCCACAAUGGACGAAAGUCUGAUGGAGCAACGCCGCGUGAGUGAAGAAGGGUUUCGGCUCGUAAAACUCUGUUGUAAGAGAAGAAUGACAUUGAGAGUAACUGUUCAAUGUGUGACGGUAUCUUACCAGAAAGGAACGGCUAAAUACGUGCCAA
This 164-nucleotide ribosomal RNA is filed under the name uncultured bacterium. Its description in RNAcentral is "partial 16S ribosomal RNA". It matches the Rfam family "Bacterial small subunit ribosomal RNA", at positions 355 to 511 of the family's 1533-position model. The record is from RNAcentral.